GAUGAAGAACGUAGCGAAAUGCGAUAAGUAAUGUGAAUUGCAGAAUCCAGUGAAUCAUCGAAUCUUUGAACGCACAUUGCGCCCGCCAGCAUUCUGGCGGGCAUGCCUGUUCGAGCGUCAUUUCAACCCUCGACCUCCCCUUGGGGAGGUCGGCGUUGGGGACCGGCAGCACACCGCCGGCACUGAAAUGGAGUGGCGGCCCGUCUGCGGCGACCUCUGCGUAGUAAUACAGCUCGCACCGGAACCCCGACGCGGCCACGCCGUAAAACACCCAACUUCUGAACGUUGACCUCGAAUCAGGUAGGACUACCCGCUGAACUUAAGCAUAUCAAUAAGCGGAGGA
RNAcentral lists this unclassified non-coding RNA (343 nucleotides) under soil metagenome. RNAcentral describes it as "partial contains 5.8S ribosomal RNA, internal transcribed spacer 2, and large subunit ribosomal RNA". The stretch from base 1 to 120 matches the Rfam family "5.8S ribosomal RNA", at positions 35 to 154 of the family's 154-position model. The record is from RNAcentral.